AAUAAUAAGUAACUAACAUAAAGUGCAAUUUUUAGUUAUUGCCACAUGAACUGAUGUGUCCAAUGAAGCCAAGAUGUUGCCCUUUAGCAGAGGCAGGUUGUCCCUUCAAGGGCACAUCUGAAGAGCUCGAUACACACUCUAAUGAUGUCCAGACUCACAUGCGAAUUAUGGCAGAAGCAAUGACUCAAUAUCGUUUAAAUAUACAG
Parasteatoda tepidariorum (common house spider) is the source of this 206-nucleotide non-coding RNA. NCBI's taxonomy places the organism in Eukaryota, Metazoa, Arthropoda, Arachnida, Araneae, Theridiidae. The record is from RefSeq and is a predicted model, not a curated record.